GACGCACCUCUGGUGUACCAGUUGUUCCGCCAGGAGCAUAGCUGGGUAGCUACGUGCGGACGGGAUAAGCGCUGAAAGCAUCUAAGCGUGAAGCCCCCCUCAAGAUGAGAUUUCCCAAUUAGUAAGACCCCUUGAAGACGACGAGGUAGAUAGGUUGGAGGUGGAAGUGCAGCAAUGCAUGGAGCUGACCAAUACUAAUCGGUCGAGGGCUUAUCCUA
Molecule: ribosomal RNA, 218 nt
Filed under: Paenibacillus macquariensis
Lineage: Bacteria; Bacillati; Bacillota; Bacilli; Caryophanales; Paenibacillaceae
Description: 23S rRNA. Bacterial LSU
Rfam family: Bacterial large subunit ribosomal RNA
Source: RNAcentral